Molecule: transfer RNA, 71 nt
Filed under: Sandaracinaceae bacterium
Lineage: Bacteria; Pseudomonadati; Myxococcota; Polyangiales; Sandaracinaceae
Description: tRNA-OTHER
Rfam family: tRNA
About the family: Transfer RNA (tRNA) molecules are approximately 80 nucleotides in length.
Source: RNAcentral
GGGCGUGUAGCUCAAUGGUAGAGCAGUGGCCUUUAAGCCAUUGGUUGGGGGUUCGAGUCCCUCCACGCUCA